GGGCUCAGCCUUCGGGCGCCCCGUCCAACACACACACACACUUUUUUAAUCCGUGAACUGUCCGUUGGGGCCCGCAAGGGCUUCGGCGUCAUCUUAUAAACCCUGUAAAAAAACCCUGAAUGUGUAAUCGCGAGAGCGAACCAAUACAACUUUCAACAACGAUCUCUUGGCUCCCCCAUCGAUGAAGAACGCAGCGAAAUGCGAUAAGUAAUGUGAAUUGCAGAAUUCAGUGAAUCAUCGAAUCUUUGAACGCACCUUGCGCCCCUUGGUAUUCCGAGGGGCAUGUCUGUCUGAGCGUCGUUUAACCCUCAAUCUCCUCAUUUGCUCUUGCGGGCUUAUUGGGGCUGAUUGGAUCGUGAGCUCUGCAGGGCCUCUGGGUCCGGCUGGCUUGAAAUGGAUCAGUGGUAACUUGGUGGCCUGUCGAAAGCUACUGGGACCCGGCGUGAUAGUAAAAUGUCUUCGUCUGGUAUUCCAAUGGUGAUUAGAGGGGGCUUGUACAGGUCCGCUUGCAAACGAAUAACUCUCAACCUUUGACCUCAGAUCAGGCAGGACUACCCGCUGAACUUAAGCAUAUCAAUAAGCGGAGGAAAAGAAACUAACCAGGAUUCCCCUAGUAACGGCGAGUGAAGCGGGAAGAGCUCAAAUUUGUAAGCUGGCGGUUUCACCGUCCGCGUUGUAAUCUCGAGAAGCCACAUCCGCGCCGGCCCUUGUAUAAGUCUGUUGGAAUUCAGUGUCAGAGAGGGUGAGAACCCCGUCUGUUAUAAGGACUACCGGUGCUUUGCGUUGGGCUUUCGAAGAGUCGCGUUGUUUGGGAAUGCAGCGCUAAUGGGUGGUAAAUUCCAUCUAAGGCUAAAUAUCGGGGGGAGACCGAUAGCGAACAAGUACCGUGAGGGAAAGAUGAAAAGCACUUUGGAAAGAGAGUUAAAUAGUACGUGAAAUUGUUGAAAGGGAAACGCUUGAAGUCAGUCACGCGGCGGAUAUCCAGCCUUCGGGUGUACCUAUCUGUCCGCGGGCCAGCAUCAGUUUUGGGGGUCGGAUAAUGGCUUGGGGA
This 1051-nucleotide ribosomal RNA is filed under the name Atractidochium hillariae. RNAcentral's name for it is "eukaryotic LSU rRNA". The stretch from base 532 to 1051 matches the Rfam family "Eukaryotic large subunit ribosomal RNA", at positions 1 to 533 of the family's 3401-position model. Lineage: Eukaryota; Fungi; Basidiomycota; Atractiellomycetes; Atractiellales; Phleogenaceae. The record is from RNAcentral.